This 434-nucleotide ribosomal RNA is filed under the name uncultured bacterium. Its description in RNAcentral is "bacterial SSU rRNA". It matches the Rfam family "Bacterial small subunit ribosomal RNA", at positions 958 to 1392 of the family's 1533-position model. The record is from RNAcentral.
AACGCGAAGAACCUUACCAGGGCUUGACAUGCUGGGAAAUCCCGCAGAGGUGCGGGGUGCCUUCGGGCGUCCAGCACAGGUGGUGCAUGGCUGUCGUCAGCUCGUGUUGUGAGAUGUUGGGUUAAGUCCUGCAACGAGCGCAACUUUCACCCUAUGUUGUCAGCGGGUUAUGCCGGGCACUCAUGGGGAACUGCCGGGGUCAACCCGGAGGAAGGCGGGGACGACGUCAAGUUAUCAUGCCCCUUAUGCCCUGGGCUGCAAACAUGCUACAAUGGCUGGUACAAUGGGCUGCGAUCUUGUGAGGGUGAGCGAAUCCCCAAAGCCGGUCCCAGUUCGGAUCGGGGUCUGCAACUCGACCCCGUGAAGUCGGAGUCGCUAGUAAUCGCGGAUCAGUAAUGCCGCGGUGAAUACGUUCCCGGGCCUUGUACACACCG